RNAcentral lists this ribosomal RNA (468 nucleotides) under uncultured bacterium. RNAcentral describes it as "partial 16S ribosomal RNA". It matches the Rfam family "Bacterial small subunit ribosomal RNA", at positions 28 to 507 of the family's 1533-position model. The record is from RNAcentral.
GACGAACGCUGGCGGCGUGCUUAACACAUGCAAGUCGAACGGAAAGGCCCUGCUUUUGUGGGGUGCUCGAGUGGCGAACGGGUGAGUAACACGUGAGUAACCUGCCCUUGACUUUGGGAUAACUUCAGGAAACUGGGGCUAAUACCGGAUAGGAGCUCCUGCUGCAUGGUGGGGGUUGGAAAGUUUCGGCGGUUGGGGAUGGACUCGCGGCUUAUCAGCUUGUUGGUGGGGUAGUGGCUUACCAAGGCUUUGACGGGUAGCCGGCCUGAGAGGGUGACCGGACACAUUGGGACUGAGAUACGGCCCAGAAUCCUACGGGAGGCAGCAGUGGGGAAUAUUGCACAAUGGGCGGAAGCCUGAUGCAGCAACGCCGCGUGCGGGAUGACGGCCUUCGGGUUGUAAACCGCUUUCGCCUGUGACGAAGCGUGAGUGACGGUAAUGGGUAAAGAAGCACCGGCUAACUACGUG